This 950-nucleotide long non-coding RNA is filed under the name Coturnix japonica (Japanese quail). RNAcentral's name for it is "lncRNA (ENSCJPG00005000387.1)". The record is from RNAcentral. Lineage: Eukaryota; Metazoa; Chordata; Aves; Galliformes; Phasianidae.
AUGAACUUUAGAGGUACCUUCCAGCCUCAACUAUUCUGUAAUCAACAGGGAAAACUUCAAAACAAGCAUGGAUUUUUUCAUCGGCUAAGAAACGCAUUGGUUCGGGUGUCUCAUGUAGCAUCUUUCCACUGGGAUGUGCCACAGAAAAACCACUACGAGAGUUACUAUCAUAUUCAGUCAUAUUCAAAGGAUAAAUCAUUUCAGCCUCUCCUGGAUGAAAAUUUGGACAGUGGAAUUUACAGAGGUGCUACAGUUGUAUUUCAUCGGCGACAAGAGAUGGAGGAGACCAUGACUGGAUCAUUGGGUGAUGCUCUGGCAUUAUUCUGUAAUGGGAAACCUGAGUUUGGCUACACAAGAGGCUGCUGAAAUCCAGCAUUUGUUUUCAGAUAUACAUUGAUGCUUUCUAAGGAAAUGAUUGUAAGAAGCCAGGGAAUACUUUAAAACAAUGUUGCUUAUGUAUUCUCCAGCAUUAUCAUGACCUAAGGAAACAAGAGCAGUAACUGCUAGGGACUGUGGACCAGUUCAACCCCAGAAUAACUGUAAAGAAGACCAAGUGAGAUUUAAUUUUUUUGUUUGUUUGUUUUUGUUUGCUUUAUUUUACCAGCCCAAAGCAAUGUUAUCUUAUGCCUACUGAGUACAGAUACGUAAAAACCUGCCUUCAAAAUAUUUGAUCAAAUAAUUCAUCUCUUGGUUAGAUAAGAAUGUAUUUAGUGUUCGUUUUCAUCAGAUCAAGUAUGACAUCUGAGUGGAUCUGCCUUUACUGGAUCUUUUGCUCAAAGAGACAAGGUGCACAAAGGAGAGCCCCAUAAUCCUACUAGUACUCUCUGGAAUAGCACUUGAGAGCUUAAGGCGACAUUCUGAGUUGUUGAUUCUUGUGUGGCAGCAUGUUUACUCUCCAUUAGAUGAAAAAUUAAAAUAAAUUUGUGGGCUUUAUAGUUUGAUGCUGCUGU